UCCAGCCAAGCCUCCCACGGGUCUGGUCCCGGCUCGGGCAGUCCCUAGCCGGUAAUAGAGACCUGCAACCCUCAAGAGAGGGCAGGAGGGGAGCACGGAGUCCUGGACCGGCUUCGGGGUUGGGACUCAGGAAAAUUGCCUUUGACGCCCGUAGAGGACAAGUCCCCAAGACCGUGUCAGCCGGGGAAAGGGAAGGAGAAAGAAAGAAACACCCAUGUGCCCUGACCAGGGAUCAAACCUGAAACCUCGGUGUAUCAGGAUGAUGCUCCAAUCAACUGAGGUACCCAGCCAGCACAAGCCUCAGGGUACUUAAAGAUGACCUGAAGAACUUGUGGAAAAAGUUUUUACAGAUACUCCCCAGAAGGAGGGAUGUCACCGCCUCACCCUCUGGACUGAGAACACUGGACAGUUCAAGUUAAGACCAUUUCCCUCUCUUCUGACUUAUGGGAUAAGGAAAAGUCUUUUUGGAAUCAAAACCGUCUGAGCUGGAAUGACCUGAGGAUUAUUUGGUCAGAUUCCUGGUGAGGAAAAGGAGGCUCAUGAGAGGAAAUAAUGGGAGCUAGGGGGAGGUGGUUAGUGAGCAUGUGGCAGAGAGGAGGCUUGACUUUGGUCUCUGGACUCCACCCCAGAGUUUUUCCAUGGACAUGGUCUCCUGCUGCGGUAGGGGAAUCCUUAUGUGGUAGAAUCCACCUUUUCACUGAUCUAGGUCUUCUAAGUGGAGUUAGGGCACAGUGGCCUUCAGGAGUUCCCCUACCAACCAACAUCCAUCCCAAAUACUUAUGCUGAUAAUGAUGUGCAGUGGGGGCCCCCUAGAGGCUAAAGUCCUGCACUGUAGACAGAAUUCCCUGUAUCCAUCCCAAAUCCUUACAGCUGGGGUAGAUUUGGAGAAAGAACACAAAAUGUCUGAAUUUUGAGUUUUGAGGGCCCUAAAGGGUCAUCCUUUGUUUAAAAACUUUAAAAAUUUUUUAUUUUUUAUUGCUCAAGUACAGUUUUUUCCAUUUUAAACUUCAUGGUGUGUAGAUGGGAAAAGUGACACUGAAUUGCCCAGGGUCACACACUAGCAGAGCCAGGAUUGGAAUCCAGGUCUUUCCGAUUUCCAGCACAGUGCUCUUUACACUUUACUUUGAUUCACUGCUCCCCAUAAGAUUUAGGUUCACUUGGGGACCCCCAGAGUCCCCUCAUCACCCUAAAAGCCCUAAGGGCUUUAUCUCAGUGGAGCUGGAGGGCAAAGACACGUUGGAGGGAGGAGCAUGGAGGGUCAGGCUGCUUUCCAGGGCCACUGGGGACUUUGGGGGGUUUGGGAGGGCAGAGCCACCUGGGACUCUCAGAGUAGUGUGUGCAGGGGGUAGUUUUUUAACUCUCUCUGUGACUGACUAGCUGGGUGAUUUUGCCCUAGUUCACAGGAGGCAAACACAAGGCCCGUGGGCUGAAUCCAGCCCUCCACCUUGUUUUAUCUUGGCCCGGCACUGUGUUUCUAUCCCGUGGCAGCAUCAAGCUCUUGUUUAGUUGUUAAGAAGUAGUUGUACUUAUACAGUCCUAAAAUUACAUUCGGCCCUUUGAAGGUAACUGCGAGGCUGAUGUGGCCCUGGUGAAAAUGAGUUUGACACCCCUGCCUAGUCAUUUCACCUCUCUGAGCCUCAAUUUUCUCACAUGUAAAGUAUGGUGAUGAGUAUAACAUCAUCAUCAUGAUUCUUACCUCACAGGGUUGUUGUGAGGAUCAGAGAUAACAUGUGAAAGCACUCAACAGUGACAGCAGUUAUUAUUUCCUCCCCCAGCCCCUGCCAGGCAGCCCUCUGGCCCCCUCCCUUUGUAGGCCUAUAAUGAAUAAUAUCAGGGCUGGCUAUUGCCUGGCUUUGGUGGCUUCUGAUCUCAGCCCUGAGUGCCAAGGUUUCUUCUGUAGCCCCCAGUGAAAUGAACUGACGAAUGGGCAGUGGCAACAGUCUAACUCAUUAGCAGUCAGUGGCUUGGGCAGCCUGCAGCCUGCUCUAGUCUGGCAGCUCAGCCCAUGAGGGCGGAGAGGAGCUGGUGCCAAUCCCCACAUGUUGAGGACUUGGCAGAGAGCAGCAGAAAUUCAGUCCAUGCAAGGCUUGGGAUGGAUACAGGGGUAGAUCAACAGAUGGCAACUUCCAUAUAGGCCCCGGAACAAAACUCCUAAGGCCCUGCCAGCAAUUUUCAGUCCAGACUGGCCCACAUUUAUUGUCUACCCUUUUCCCACCUGGCCUGGGGCCCCCUACCUUCAUGUACACUCCCUUGACCAUUGUGCUCCUACCUCCAGCACAACUUUCACCCCUUUUUAGGGAAGGUAACUGUAGGAAGACCUUAUUCAGCAUUGGGGGAAACCACAAGCUUUCCUCCAAUUUGCUUAACUUUCUUGGAUAUAGAGAAGGAAGAAAGUGAAGGCUGAGGGAGGCUGUGGGGAGAGUGGGGCAGAGGAACAGGUGGCUGGGGCUGGAGCUGGGGCUGGGUUCAGUCCUGCUCUAUUUCAGUAUUGAUGAGACUUUCAUCAAUAAUUCAAAGUCAUAGAAACUCCAGGUCUCAGGAGCUGGGCUCUGGGACACCUAGCAGCCAAUCAGAUAUAAUCCUCCCAGGGCAAGAGUUCAUGGCUCCUCCCCAGGCUGUCUCUCCCCACCCCCACACAAGGUCCCAGCAAAUUGGUAUUCUGCAGGCAGUGCCCAGAGCCCACGACCUCUCCUGGCACUGCUGAUGAUGCAGAAAUGCUAGGGCAAUACAAGGUACAGCUUGGACAGGGACAGACAACUGUAGGACAGCUAAUGAGUAGCCCUGGGAAGGGUUGGGGGCUAGAGGUAGAGCCACACCUUAGGACUACAGAGUCCCAGGAGAGCUCCUAAAUCCCUGCUUUCCUGUCUGUUCCAAUCUGGCAGCCAACUGACAGACUUUCCCACUCCCAACAGCAGCACUGGGUGUGAGGGGUCAUGCUGUCAUUUACAGACCCCUGGAAACUGUGUCUCAGCACUGACAGCUGGCUUACAGUUCCCAUGUCUGGAGAGAGGGUCCCUAUUGGGGUUGAGGUCUUGAGUAUGCUUAUUCCCCUGCCUCCCGUCCUGUUUCACUCUUGAGAAAAGUGCCAGUACCUUUCAGGUGAGCUGACAGCUCAGGUUGGCACCCCUUGGCAUUACCUGGCAGGGCUGACCCUGGAGGCUACAGAUUACACCACGGGUGGGAAAACAGGCCAGGGCCCUGGCAGUAUCCUUGCUGCACAAGACAGGGACAGGACUGGCACUUACAUGGCUAUGAGUCUCCUCAUUGCCAUAGCAACAGCCUGAACUGAAUGACCUUUUCAUGGGACGGUGGGAGGCAAGCUGAUUGGCUGGGACACCACCCUCCCUUUCCCUGUCCAGUGUGGGGCCCCUACUGCCUGGCACCUCUCACUGUUUCCUCAGAGCUGGCAAGUACAGGCAUGUGGCUCCAGGAGGUGCCUCCCCAGGUGCCUGCCAUCUCAGACAGCAGGGGCAGUCCACCUUCCCAGCCCCUUCUCCAUGCCAUCUUCACAGAGGUGCCCCCACUCUUCCUGGCCCUGUUAGAGUUUUUGCUCACUUCACUCAGUUCCCCCAUCUUGGGAGGGGCAGCAUCAUCCCUCUGCACAGAGCAUUCAGCUUCCUGAUGGGAUAUGUGAGCCAAGCACCAUCACCCUGGCCAAUAGGUACUGAACACCUCGGAAUCAGGUACCAUGCUGAGUACUUCAUAUACAGCAUUCACCACAUGCCUGGUGCUCUGGUAAGUAUGCUUCAUACCGUGUCUCUCAAAUCUUAGUGCAGUUUUAAGCUUUAAUUCUUUUGGAAGAAAAAUUGCCUCAAACUUACAAGCAUCAUUUGAAGGUUUAAUUUUUUACAUUAAAUUGAAGUAGAAAAUAUUUUAAUUCAAAUUUAAAAAUAGACAAAUUUAAAUAAUGAAGCAUUUUGCAUUCAUACUUCUGAAGUUUUUGAAGCUUAAAACGACACUAAAACUUCUGGGAUACUGUGUUUAACUAAUUGAAUCCUCAACAUUGCUCUAAGCAGUAGGUCAUAUGUGGCAAACACAAGGCCCGUGGGCUGAAUCUGGCCCUCCACCUUGUUUUAUCCAGCCUGGCACCUUGUUUCUACCUGGUGGCAGCACCGAGCUCUCACUUAACCGUUAAGGAGUAGUCACAUUUAUACAAUCCUAUUAUUACAUCUGGCCCUUUGAAGGCAACUGUGAGGCCGAUGUGGCCCCCAGUGAAAAUGAGUUUGAUACCCCUGCAGUAAGUGCUAUUAAUAAUAUGCCCAUUUAUAGGUAAGGAAACCAUAAGCUGUGGAGGUGAUGUGGAUUUCCCAAGAUCACACUGGAAAGGGUGGCAGAGCCGGACUGGGACCUGUCUAACAGCCGCUCUGAAGUUUGCCCCUCAUUUCAUAACAUCCCGAGCUCUCCCUGAGCUGGCACACAGUGGAGGACCUGUAGUAUAGGGUGGAGGCAUCACUGUCUAGGUAACAACAUGGUGGGUACAGACUCCUGCAGGAGCAGCCCCGUGGAGUUUCCACUGCAGGGGAAUGAAAGCAAAGUCAGGUGCAACCUGAGCUCCUGUACAAUAUUUAUCAGCAUCGAGAUGGUCCAGGAGGCCUCUAUUUCACCUGCAGUGCCAAGCUCCUGCAUGUCCCCUGGCACUAGGCUCUAUGGACAUGUGCCCCAGCCUCCUAUCCUUGCUGCAGCUUGGCUCACUCCCCAAGGUACCCAGGCUGAGUGAGUCAGGGGUUAAAAUGAAAUCUAUACCCCAGGGGCAUCCAACCCCCUUGCAAUCUGCCACUGCCAUUUCCUGUUGCUUAUGUGAAAGGCUCCCUAACCUGCUCAGCCAGGGGAGGACUUGCUCCCAAGGAAUCCUAGGCACUCUUGGCAUCCAGGGUAAAGGAUGGGUAAUGCCCCACAUCCCAGCUGUCUUCCUGACCCCUCUCUGCCCAGAUUUGCCCUGCUUUCUGGGGUGAAAGCAUGCCUUGUCAUUGCCUGGAUAGAAAGCCCACAGGUGGGUGUCAGAGACAUGCCUCAACAGGGUUCAGUUCCUCCUGCUCACAUGUCUAGGACAGGUGAGUGAGAAGAACCAGCUAGUCCUGACAGGUGCUUGGGAACCUUCACAGUGGUGAUGUCAGAACUUCCCAUAGCCAUUUGUGAAGGAAUAAGGUACUGCUGAUGUGCUGACCUGAAGGGCAGAGUGGGAUGAGAAAGGGGCCUUGUCUCCAUCUAUACUCUCUGACCCUCACUGUUAGCCUGUCAGGCACUGUCUGGGCACAAGUGUCAACCUGAGAGUCCAGGGAUAUCUUGACAGGAGUGGAGGAUGCAGGUAGAGUGAAGAUUUGGGGUGGGGAUAUUUGUGCUCAUAUCAUCCAGGAGAUCUAGAUCUGUCUACUCAUGUCAGGCCCCCAGGCGCCUCAACCUGCCCCCGUCCCUCUCCCAGUCUGUCACUCUAGCAGCUCUAUCUCUGAGGGUCUAGGAGCCAGUGACCCAUCAGUUUACAUGGCUUGACAGGAGGUCAUCUAAGGGAAUCUGGGUCCAUUUCUGUCUCUCUUGCAGUCUCAAGGGCUGGGAGAGGAGAGGGAAAAGAGGUAAAAUAAAAAGUUUGGAGAUAACAGCAAGAAUCCUGACUGAAAAGAAGUGGGUGGGCCCAGGGUAGAGCCUCUGUUUGGUGAUUCUCUGAUUUGGGUUUGGGAGGGUAGGCAUCUACCCUCUAAGAAAAGGUAAUGGAAAUGGGCCUCCAGGCAGCAUUGAAAUCCUUAAAUUCCUUUUCCAGACACCUCUGUUCAGACACUCUCAUGUUGCCUCCUCGAAGGGGGAGAACAGCUUUCUUUCUUUCCUCCAGGACUUCAUUCUUCAUCUGUCCUUGACCUCCAGCCUUCAGUCUUGCCCACAGCACCUCCCCAGGCUUGAUAGGGCAGUCUCUCAAAUGUUCCCCCAAACAGACAGUCCAGGGCCCUCUGUUCAGCAUCCCUGUGAAGCUCAGGUAUUAAAG
Phyllostomus hastatus (greater spear-nosed bat) is the source of this 5971-nucleotide long non-coding RNA. RefSeq lists it as uncharacterized. The transcript is spliced from 3 exons. The record is from RefSeq and is a predicted model, not a curated record. Lineage: Eukaryota; Metazoa; Chordata; Mammalia; Chiroptera; Phyllostomidae.